Mastomys coucha (southern multimammate mouse) is the source of this 574-nucleotide long non-coding RNA. RefSeq lists it as uncharacterized. The record is from RefSeq and is a predicted model, not a curated record. NCBI's taxonomy places the organism in Eukaryota, Metazoa, Chordata, Mammalia, Rodentia, Muridae. The transcript has 2 exons.
UUAUUGUGAGCAGGAGGAAAAGUGGAGGAGAGCUGCUGGACACAUGUGUCCUUGAAGGCUGGAUCUUCCAAGUCCCACCCCUUCCUUUAUCUCUCUCUGCUUCACAGGUCUAUGAGUUGAGCCGCUCUGAUCCAUCUCUGCCAUGAUAUCGUUUGGCUUAAAUAACAGAACCAACCAACAAUAACCUGAAACCUGACUAUGCCACUAAAGAAUUCCCCUUGCAAGUGAGGGAAAAUAAAUCAAGCAUGUGGAAGAUGUGGGACAUGAAUUCUCCAGCAGCAGAAAAGACGGGAAAGAGAUCCCUAGGGUAAUGGUGAAGAGGGAGCCCAGGAUAACCAUCAAGUGCCAGAUGCAAGAGGCAAGCAAUUUAGGCUGCAGUCAGCCAGGAGUCUGAGUAAGAUUUUAUACAUGAAAAUUAAUGGACUCUCUGGCUCAUAUCAGUGGCCUGAGAGAGUGAGAAAACUUGUGAAGAGUAAUUACAUGGUAAACUCACAGGAAGCUAACAACAGAAAUAAAGACCGUUAUUACCUCCAAAGUAAUAACUAUACAGGAUACGACUAAAUCCUGUACAGCA